This 297-nucleotide unclassified non-coding RNA is filed under the name Hevea brasiliensis (rubber tree). Lineage: Eukaryota; Viridiplantae; Streptophyta; Magnoliopsida; Malpighiales; Euphorbiaceae. The record is from RNAcentral.
GUUAUUUCAAACAUUAAUCCAAGUUCCAUCCAAAAGAAAACAAGUGUGUGUGUGUAUUUGUGUCAUUGACAAGUUUUAAAUAUAAGUCGUUUCAGACUGAUUCAGCCAAUUCUGUACUCUGUUUCUGAUUCCAUUAUUUAAACCCUAACUGCUAAAAGCAUAAAAAGAAAUUCAGAGUCAGCAACCAAUUCAGUUUGUUUCAAACCAAUUCAGUCCAUUGCAUUACACUGUUUCCAAUUCCAAAACUGAUUCUGAUUCCAUUACUUAAAACCCUAGUGUGUGUUUGUGAAAUAAAAA